Long non-coding RNA from Sebastes umbrosus (honeycomb rockfish), 1062 nucleotides. RefSeq lists it as uncharacterized. The record is from RefSeq and is a predicted model, not a curated record. NCBI's taxonomy places the organism in Eukaryota, Metazoa, Chordata, Actinopteri, Perciformes, Sebastidae. The transcript has 5 exons.
ACAUGGUGCGUUCAGGUGCAGACUCUUCAGGUAGCUUUGUACUCUCUAAGACAUCACGACACUCUGGUGCUCUGACCAACCUGCUCAGACAAACUACACCACUGGGGGACGUGUCGGUGAUGGGUUACUCCAGUCAGGUGAUGACCAGGUCAAACUUGUCCUUGCAGCUUUGAAAGCGCUCCGGCUUUGAUUUGAUGCGCUUGUUGCGGUCCAGCAUGUGCAGGAUGCCAUUCUGUGUGUAUCUGAAGAGUUCGGAGGUCAAGGAACACAGCAGGAGCAAGAGAAACACUUCAAGAUGCAGUCAGCUAGCUGAAGACACUCCCUCUCGGGGCCAAUAAAAGAAGACCAUCCUACCUGUGUCAUCACGACAGAAAACUGACAGCAGAGGCGUCUUUGUGCUGCGGCCUGGUGAGUAAAUCCCUGGUAGGCUGUCAGAAAGCCAAAAAGCAACACAAUGUUUUAUGCCUUGGGGAGCUUAAGAGCACUGACUGUGACCAGGUACUGAGUGCCCGGCUCCAGGCCCGUCAGUACGGUGGAGUUCUGCUGGUUGGGUAAUGUCACGAUGUGGACGUCUCCGCUUGGAAUAGCUCCAUACUCCACCGUAUAUCUCUGAACUCGAGCCGGCUGCAGGGGACCCCAGCUCACACGGAUCUGACGAAGACCAGAGGCCAACACGGAGACCACUGCCGGGCUUAAAACAUCUGAGGGGAGAGGAAGCACAAGAGACACAGACAGGAAACAGAAAAAACGCAGUAAAAGGCUCUCUAAUGGCAUGGAUAUCUGUCCUCUUUGACGCACACUCAGUCUGUUGAAUGACCGCGUCUCAAGUUUUGUGAUGUAUUUCUAUCAGAAAAAUGGAAAUUCAAACAUCUACAAUUCAACAACAAGUGAGAAAACUCAAUUUGCUGAGGAAGAUUUUGCAAAAUGAUUGCUAACAAUAACAGCAACCGAAUGGGCCUUGUGGUGAGAUUGUUUCUCUUCCCCUCUUUUAAUUGUUUUUAUGCCCCCGCGCCGGCGAAAGCCGUGGCCACAGACAUGGAUGUAAACUGCAACUUGACUGCU